UGAACUUGUAGAUUUCACAUUUUUUAGAGGAAAAGAUUGAAGCAAGCUAUGUACAACUCAACAUAACUUGAAAAAAAAAACAAAAAACUUCACCAUCAAUCACAAAUUUCAAGAACCCACAAAAUCUGAAAAUCUAAUAAAAUUAGAAUUAAUUCACAAAAUAAAUAAAUACAUAACAUAUAGAUUAGAAUAUGAAAUGAAACACAUCUUUAGUCGGUAAAUAGCUUUUGAAUCAACUUUUGCCUUGUUUGAUUCUUGUUUGGUCCUAAUACAAACCAACAAUAGAUAACUUGUGAUGAAAUAAAAACGUACCAAAAAAGGGAAUUUGGAAGGAUAACGUACCUUGCUUUAAUCUAUGAGGGAGGUGAUAUAAACCCUGAGGAUCGACAACGUUAUGUGAGAGUGAAAGAGAGAUGGAACCAACAUCAACCCUUCAUUAGAAUCAAAAACCACAAGUUAAUCAAAAUCAAGAAUUGAGGGAAAAAGAAAAUCGAUAUAAAAACUAAAUCAGAGGGAACGUGUACAAACGAUACUCAGAUAGAUAACCCUUGGUGCAUACUUACCUGAAAGAUGAACCUAUAAGUCAAAAAGAAAAAUUAACAACAAAAUCCAAAAUCUUUUAAUCGAAAAAAAUAUACAAAAAAUAUGGUUUUACCCUCUGGUGGCUGAUGGCGACGAAGGUGUUGGUAUGUUACAACUACAAAAUCGAGGGUAUAAAGCGAAAAGAAGAAAAAUGGAACAACAAUAUCCAAACCUAUAAAUCUAAAAUAAAGGUGUUGAAGAUGGUCUCGAGGGUACCUGUGGUGGCUAAUGGAGAUUACGAAGGUGGUGGUAGGCGGCGACGACUGGCAUGAUGGAUUUUCUGCGAUGGUGGCGGUAAGUGGUUUGAUGGCGGUGCGUUUUCGGGUAUGUAUGUGUUUGUGUGAGAUUAAAACCCAUAAAGAGAGAGAAAAAGAUACCUUACACGUGAUUUGCCCCAGGGAUUUAACAUUAGGGACCAGUCUAAGAGAGAGAGUUCGUAUUUCUAAACUUGAAUUCAAA
This 1041-nucleotide long non-coding RNA is filed under the name Lactuca sativa (garden lettuce). Its description in RNAcentral is "long non-coding RNA (LSAT_LNC008501)". The record is from RNAcentral. Lineage: Eukaryota; Viridiplantae; Streptophyta; Magnoliopsida; Asterales; Asteraceae.